This 464-nucleotide ribosomal RNA is filed under the name uncultured bacterium. RNAcentral describes it as "bacterial SSU rRNA". It matches the Rfam family "Bacterial small subunit ribosomal RNA", at positions 329 to 792 of the family's 1533-position model. The record is from RNAcentral.
AUCCAGACUCCUACGGGAGGCAGCAGUGAGGAAUAUUGGUCAAUGGCCGAGAGGCUGAACCAGCCAAGUCGCGUGAGGGAAGACGGCCCUACGGGUUGUAAACCUCUUUUGUCGGGGAGCAAAAGCCGGACGUGUCCGGCUGUGAGAGUACCCGAAGAAAAAGCAUCGGCUAACUCCGUGCCAGCAGCCGCGGUAAUACGGAGGAUGCGAGCGUUAUCCGGAUUUAUUGGGUUUAAAGGGUGCGCAGGCGGAUUUUUAAGUCAGCGGUAAAAUCGUGGGGCUCAACCCCAUCCAGCCGUUGAAACUGGGGAUCUAGAGUGUGCGAGAAGUAUGCGGAAUGCGUGGUGUAGCGGUGAAAUGCAUAGAUAUCACGCAGAACUCCGAUUGCGAAGGCAGCAUACCGGCGCCCAACUGACGCUGAAGCACGAAAGCGUGGGUAUCGAACAGGAUUAGAUACCCUAGUA